This 253-nucleotide ribosomal RNA is filed under the name uncultured bacterium. Its description in RNAcentral is "partial 16S ribosomal RNA". It matches the Rfam family "Bacterial small subunit ribosomal RNA", at positions 524 to 776 of the family's 1533-position model. The record is from RNAcentral.
UACGUAGGGUGCAAGCGUUGUCCGGAAUUAUUGGGCGUAAAGGGCUCGUAGGCGGUCCAUCGCGUCGGGUGUGAAAAGCUGGGGCUUAACCCCAGUCCUGCUUCCGAUACGGGUGGACUAGAGGUAGGUAGGGGAGAACGGAAUUCCAGGUGUAGCGGUGAAAUGCGUAGAUAUCUGGAGGAAUACCGGUGGCGAAGGCGGCAUCCUGGACCGGCAUUGACGCUGAGGAGCGAAAGCUAGGGGAGCAAACGGG